RNAcentral lists this ribosomal RNA (382 nucleotides) under uncultured eukaryote. RNAcentral describes it as "SSU rRNA". It matches the Rfam family "Eukaryotic small subunit ribosomal RNA", at positions 587 to 972 of the family's 1831-position model. The record is from RNAcentral.
AGCUCCAAUAGCGUAUAUUAAAGUUGUUUCAGUUAAAAAGCUCGUAGUUGGAUUUCUGGUAGGAGUAGUACCUAUAGGUAUUUGACCUAUAAACUGCUAUCUUCCACCAUCCUUGAAGAUAUUUGGUCUGGCAUUAAGUUAUUGGAUUAAAGAUAUUCAUCUUUUAAUGUGAAAAAAUCAGAACGUUAAAAGUAAUUAUUUAGCUUUGAAUGUAUUAGCAUGGAAUAAUAAAAUAGGAGUUAGGUACUAAUUUGUUGGUUUAUAAAACUAGAUAAUUCUUAAUAGGGAUAGUUGGGGGUAUUCAUAUUCUAUUGUUAGAGGUGAAAUUAUUAGAUUUCUGGAAGUCAAACAACUGCGAAAGCAUUUACCAAGGAUGUUUUCA